RNAcentral lists this long non-coding RNA (312 nucleotides) under Elaeis guineensis (African oil palm). RNAcentral describes it as "long non-coding RNA (EGUI_LNC079081)". Lineage: Eukaryota; Viridiplantae; Streptophyta; Magnoliopsida; Arecales; Arecaceae. The record is from RNAcentral.
GUGAAGAGAGCUAAAAUCUUAUCCCGCAACUUACAUUUCUUGACUAGUUUUAAAUGUUUGGAUCGUAAUUUUUGAUAAUGAAUUUUAAAUUAUGGCCAACUUCAGAGGUUUUAAUUAGUUUCUAGCCUCUAACAUCUCUUUUGGAUAGGUCAAGCCAUAGAAAGGAUGGAUGAGAGGAAAAUAGAGGAAUGCACUGGAUCCCAUAUUUGUCCUGAUGACAAUCUCUGCUACUGCUGCAACAAACUGCUCGUCCGACUCUGUUAUAGUACACAGGCAGAAUGCUUGACCAUCUGCGAUCCUCCAAGAGACCUU